AACGAACGCUGGCGGCAUGCCUAACACAUGCAAGUCGAACGAGACCUUCGGGUCUAGUGGCGCACGGGUGCGUAGCGCGUGGGAACCUGCCCUUAGGUUCGGAAUACCUCCCCGAAAGGGGUGCUAAUACCGGAUAAUGUCUUCGGACCAAAGAUUUAUCGCCUUUGGAUGGGCCCGCGUUGGAUUCGCUAGUUGGUAGGGUAAAGGCCUACCAAGGCUACGAUCGAUAGCUGGUCUGAGAGGAUGAUCAGCCACACUGGGACUGAGACACGGCACAGACUCGUACGGGAGGCAGCAGUGGGGAGUAUUGCACAGUGGGCGGAAGCCUGAGGCAGCAACGCCGCGUGCGGGAUGACGUCCUACGGGUUGUAAACCGCUUUCGCCUGAGACGAAGCGUGAGUGACGGUAAUGGGUAAAGAAGCACCGGCUAACUACGUG
RNAcentral lists this ribosomal RNA (438 nucleotides) under uncultured bacterium. Its description in RNAcentral is "partial 16S ribosomal RNA". It matches the Rfam family "Bacterial small subunit ribosomal RNA", at positions 29 to 507 of the family's 1533-position model. The record is from RNAcentral.